Molecule: ribosomal RNA, 717 nt
Filed under: uncultured bacterium
Lineage: Bacteria
Description: bacterial SSU rRNA
Rfam family: Bacterial small subunit ribosomal RNA
Source: RNAcentral
ACGGGUGAGUAACACGUGGGUAACCUGCCCAUCAGAAGGGGAUAACACUUGGAAACAGGUGCUAAUACCGUAUAACACUAUUUUCCGCAUGGAAGAAAGUUGAAAGGCGCUUUUGCGCCACUGAUGGAUGGACCCGCGGUGCAUUAGCUAGUUGGUGAGGUAACGGCUCACCAAGGCCACGAUGCAUAGCCGACCUGAGAGGGUGAUCGGCCACACUGGGACUGAGACACGGCCCAGACUCCUACGGGAGGCAGCAGUAGGGAAUCUUCGGCAAUGGACGAAAGUCUGACCGAGCAACGCCGCGUGAGUGAAGAAGGUUUUCGGAUCGUAAAACUCUGUUGUUAGAGAAGAACAAGGAUGAGAGUAAAACGUUCAUCCCUUGACGGUAUCUAACCAGAAAGCCACGGCUAACUACGUGCCAGCAGCCGCGGUAAUACGUAGGUGGCAAGCGUUGUCCGGAUUUAUUGGGCGUAAAGCGAGCGCAGGCGGUUUCUUAAGUCUGAUGUGAAAGCCCCCGGCUCAACCGGGGAGGGUCAUUGGAAACUGGGAGACUUGAGUGCAGAAGAGGAGAGUGGAAUUCCAUGUGUAGCGGUGAAAUGCGUAGAUAUAUGGAGGAACACCAGUGGCGAAGGCGGCUCUCUGGUCUGUAACUGACGCUGAGGCUCGAAAGCGUGGGGAGCGAACAGGAUUAGAUACCCUGGUAGUCCACGCCGUAAA